This 288-nucleotide ribosomal RNA is filed under the name uncultured Planctomycetota bacterium. RNAcentral's name for it is "uncultured planctomycete partial 16S ribosomal RNA". It matches the Rfam family "Bacterial small subunit ribosomal RNA", at positions 64 to 364 of the family's 1533-position model. The record is from RNAcentral. Lineage: Bacteria; Pseudomonadati; Planctomycetota.
GCGCGAGAACUGAAGGAGCUUGCUCUUGAAGGGACAGCGGCGUAAGGGAGAGUAACAGGUAGAUACCUGCCCUCAGGUUUGGGAUAGCGUCGGGAAACUGGCAGUAAUACCAAAUAACAUCUCCGGAUCAAAGCUCCGGCGCCUGAGGAUGGAUCUGCUCACUAUUAGCUUGUUGGUGGGGUAAUGGCCUACCAAGGCAACGAUGGUUAGCGGGCGUGAGAGCGUGGCCCGCCUCACUGGGACUGAGACACUGCCCAGACUCCUACGGGAGGCUGCAGUCGAGGAUCA